This 294-nucleotide ribosomal RNA is filed under the name Allothereua sp. Its description in RNAcentral is "partial ribosomal RNA small subunit". Lineage: Eukaryota; Metazoa; Arthropoda; Chilopoda; Scutigeromorpha; Scutigeridae. The record is from RNAcentral.
UGACUUUUGGCGGUAUAUUAAACAUUAUAGAGGAAUUUGUACCUUAAUCGAUAUUCCCCGUUAAUUUACCCUGGUUGGUAAGUCAACUUGUAUAUCGCUGUCGUAAGAUUAUUUUUAGAGAAAUUUUUCAAUAAUAAAUUUUUAUUUAUGUCAAGUCAAGGUGCAGUAAAUGCCUAGGGUUGAGAUGGGUUACAAUGUAUGAAUACAUAUGAAUAUGAUUUUGUAAAAUGUUAUUGAAGGUGGAUUUAAUUGUAAUGUAGCAUUUGUUCAUGAAACUGAAAGAGGUCCUAAAAU